CCUACGGGAGGCAGCAGUGGGGAAUAUUGGACAAUGGGCGCAAGCCUGAUCCAGCCAUGCCGCGUGAGUGAUGAAGGCCUUAGGGUUGUAAAGCUCUUUUGUACGGGAAGAUAGUGACGGUACCGUAAGAAUAAGCCCCGGCUAACUUCGUGCCAGCAGCCGCGGUAAUACGAAGGGGGCUAGCGUUGCUCGGAAUCACUGGGCGUAAAGGGUGCGUAGGCGGGUUUUUAAGUCAGAGGUGAAAUCCUGGAGCUCAACUCCAGAACUGCCUUUGAUACUGAAAGUCUUGAGUAUGGGAGAGGUGAGUGGAACUGCGAGUGUAGAGGUGAAAUUCGUAGAUAUUCGCAAGAACACCAGUGGCGAAGGCGGCUCACUGGCCCAUUACUGACGCUGAGGCACGAAAGCGUGGGGAGCAAACAGGAUUAGAUACCCUGGUAGUCCACGACGUAACGAUAGAUAGCACGCGUAGUGGUUACGUCACUAGUGCGC
RNAcentral lists this ribosomal RNA (489 nucleotides) under uncultured bacterium. RNAcentral's name for it is "bacterial SSU rRNA". It matches the Rfam family "Bacterial small subunit ribosomal RNA", at positions 338 to 846 of the family's 1533-position model. The record is from RNAcentral.